This 2395-nucleotide long non-coding RNA is filed under the name Marmota monax (woodchuck). The record is from RNAcentral. Lineage: Eukaryota; Metazoa; Chordata; Mammalia; Rodentia; Sciuridae.
GCCCAGCUCUAAAAUUUGCCGACGCCCUGGCCUUCCUGCCAUGGUAGUGAAACAUCUGACUAUGUGCACGUGUGUUCAGGACAGCCAUGCAGCUAUGAGGAUGCUGCAUGCAGAAGGAGCCACCCCAGAACCACACCUGACCAUCUUGAGAAUUUGUAGCUUCCCAGGUAGGAAGCGGCCAGUGCAGCAUCUCCUAAAGUAUAUUCUGUAGGAUAUUAAUAGUCAGUAGGUGAAAAUGUCACACUCAGCAAGUUUGGGAACAGAACACAAAGCUAAGAAAAUUAAACUAGCUUAGACUUUUUUGUUGCUUCUAACUGGAGCCCAUUUCAGGGUUCCCUACACUAGUGAGUGUCAGCACUCCUAACAGAAGGCAGAAUACACUGGGACCCAAACUUGUUUGACCAUGAAACCCAUUGGCCUCUGAGAAAUUUCUAGGAUGAGUGCUCUAUAGCACUCAACCAUUCCACCAGUUAGCCAUAUAUUCAGCUAGUAUGUAUUGAAUGAGAGCUCACAGUCUAGAGGAGGAGACAUACACACACACACACACACACACCCAUCAGUGUUAGUUACAAAUUGUAAUUACUCCUAUGGAGGAGAACAGUCUGCCCUCUAUCCAUGGGUUCCAUAUCCACAGACUCAACCAAGCAUGAAUUUAAAAAAAAAAAAAAAAUUUUAAUGGGAUCUGUACUGAUCUCAUCCAGACUAUUUCAUCAUUCCCUAAAAUAUAUAGCAUAACUACUAUUCACAUAGCAUCUACAUUAUAUUAGGUAUUAUAAGAAAGCUAGAGAUGAUUUUAAGAUAGGGGAGGAACAUACAGGUAAUAUGCAAAUACCACACUGUUUUAUACGAGGAACUUGAGCAUCUGCAGAUUUAGAUGUCUUGCUUGUGGUCCUGGACCCAGUCCCCCAUGGAUACAAAGGGACCACUGUACUCAAAACUAUAAAAAGCGGUCUAAUUUAGAUUUUGAGAUCAAGAGAGAUCUCUAGCAAACUGACAUUUUAAAAAUAACACGUGAUACCUGGAGCCUCGCAAUGGAAGAGCCCGCCAUAUGAAGGCACAGCCUGAGGGAGUGUCCCAAGACAGGAGAAGGCGGCUUGGUUCUCUGGAGGAAACAGCAAAACGAGUACCCGGGAAGAAGGGGUAUCAGAUCACAAUUCGAAGAAGUACAGAUUUUUAUAAUAAGAAAAAUGGGGAGAAGUUACACUUAAAACCUUCCCACUGUGCCGGGACCCUAAGAAAGUCCAUGUGAAUAGUCUGGGACUGUCCUUCUCGUCUCCAGACCAUGGUCAUGGCCGAACAGCAAAGGAGACCAGGAGAGGAGAUGGGGCUUCUGCUCCGCCCACAGCCCCAACCUGGUCUCAGUGACAUACUCCACCUCCCCUGAGGCUACAGAGAUGGCAGCAGCUUCAAGGCCAUCCCUGACCCCCUGUCCCCAACAUAUUGUCCUCUGAGAAGAGCUAAGGGAACCCGAGAGACUGGUUGAAGCAUGUGAAACAAAGGAAAGAAGAAGAUCACCAGGACAGAACUUGAUCCAUGGGGACCAGUGCCUCCAACCUCCUCAGUGAGAAGGAGGAUCCCUGCUCCAUCCCCACGUGGAUCCCAUGGCCGGCUAAUGUGUAGGAUAAAGCACAGCGGUCCUGGGGGAUCCUCAGGGAGUUGGCUCCAGGACCACCUUCAGGUACCCAAAUCUGCAAAGGCUCAAGUUCCUGAUAUAAAAUGGCCUAGUAUUUGCAUAUAACCUUACAUACAUCCUCCCUAUGCUUUAAAUCAUUUCUAGAUUACUUAUAAUGUAAACAUUAUACAAAUAAUUGUUAUGUUCUAUUGUUUAGGGAAUGACAAGGAAAAAAAAGUCUCUACAUGUGCAGUAUGGAUGCAAUUUUUUUCCCUGAAUAUUUUCAACCAGCCGUUGGUUGAAUCUAUGGGUGCAGAACCCACAGACAGGGAUGGCUGACUGUUAGCCUCCUGGAUAUGGAACAACAGUUUCAUUUUCCAAGUUCAUGCUAAUUACUAAUCAGCAUUAUUUAUAAUCUUUAUAAUGCCUACCACAUUAUAUAAAGCCUACCAAACGGGGGUCACUUACCUUUCAGAGUACCUUGUGAAGUAUCUUUCAUAGGUAGGUUUAUUAUUUUUACUUGGAGUUUUGAAUACCAGAAAUAUCCUUGGAAAUCCCUACUUGAGAGCUCCUUGGCUGGAAACCAGUUCAGUGGGUGCCUGUCCCAGAGGAUGCUUCUCCUUUGUGGCCCCCACAGCCUGAGCAGUCUGUAUUCUUGCCUCAGCGCCCCUAAAUCUUCGCCACAUGCUCAUGGGCACUGGCUUUGAUGCUGGCAUUUGAAGCAGCACUUAGGAAAUUCUGAGAGGCCCCGAUGAUUAAGAUAAAUAACAUUUGUCAAUGAAA